Molecule: long non-coding RNA, 460 nt
Organism: Zonotrichia leucophrys gambelii
Lineage: Eukaryota; Metazoa; Chordata; Aves; Passeriformes; Passerellidae
Exons: 3
Source: RefSeq, a predicted model, not a curated record
CCAUAAUUGCUUCUACCAACUCUUCAGUUUGAAGAGAGAUCCUUUGAUACAUCCUCCAUAAUGAAAGGUUCCAGUUCAGAACUUCUUUAAGCUCAAAAAUGAACUUGGAUACAAGAGGACAAACUAGGAACCCAAAUCAAAAGGAAGCAAUUAUAAAAGCCCUGUGAGCAGCAGCUUAAGUGAAAAGACAGAAACACAGAGUUACACAAAAAUGCAUCUUUUCAAUCCCCUGGCUUUUCAGGGCAGACAAGCCCAAGAGCUGAUUCAAGCCUGCAGCUUGCCGGACACUGAGCAGAGAGGAGCACUACUCCAACCACCUCAUUCUGUAUGCACAGCAAGCAGGUACAAAGCAAAUGUGAUGUGAGUCACACAAGAAAAACAUAGAAAACAAAGGCAAAAGAGCUGGCAAGAUAGAAAGGACAGCAAUGUGGGAGAGUGGGCAACAUCAGGCUGCCAAGAA